UGGGGAAUCUUGGACAAUGGGGGCAACCCUGAUCCAGCCAUGCCGCGUGAGCGAUGAAGGCCUUAGGGUUGUAAAGCUCUUUCACCGGUGAAGAUAAUGACGGUAGCCGGGAGAAGAAGCCCCGGCUAACUCCGUGCCAGCAGCCGCGGUAAUACGGAGGGGGUUAGCGUUGUUCGGAAUUACUGGGCGUAAAGCGCACGUAGGCGGACCAGAAAGUUGGGGGUGAAAUCCCGGGGGCUCAACCCCGGAACUGCCUCCAAAACUAUUGGUCUAGAGUUCGAGAGAGGUGAGUGGAAUUCCAAGUGUAGAGGUGAAAUUCGUAGAUAUUUGGAGGAACACCAGUGGCGAAGGCGGCUCACUGGCUCGAUACUGACGCUGAGGUGCGAAAGUGUGGGGAGCAAACAGGAUUAGAUACCCUGGUAGUCCACACCGUAAAACGAUGAAUGCCAGUCGUCGGGUAGCAUGCUAUUCGGUGACACACCUAACGGAUUAAGCAUUCCGGCCUGGGGAGUACGGUCGCAAGAUUAAAACUCAAAUGAAUUG
RNAcentral lists this ribosomal RNA (543 nucleotides) under uncultured bacterium. RNAcentral describes it as "bacterial SSU rRNA". It matches the Rfam family "Bacterial small subunit ribosomal RNA", at positions 355 to 912 of the family's 1533-position model. The record is from RNAcentral.